RNAcentral lists this ribosomal RNA (477 nucleotides) under uncultured bacterium. RNAcentral's name for it is "partial 16S ribosomal RNA". It matches the Rfam family "Bacterial small subunit ribosomal RNA", at positions 30 to 507 of the family's 1533-position model. The record is from RNAcentral.
AUUGAACGCUGGCGGCAUGCCUUACACAUGCAAGUCGAACGGUAACAGGUUAAGCUGACGAGUGGCGAACGGGUGAGUAAUGUGUCGGAACGUGCCCAGUCGUGGGGGAUAACUGCUCGAAAGAGCAGCUAAUACCGCAUACGACCUGAGGGUGAAAGCGGGGGAUCGCAAGACCUCGCGCGAUUGGAGCGGCCGAUAUCAGAUUAGGUAGUUGGUGAGGUAAAGGCUCACCAAGCCGACGAUCUGUAGCUGGUCUGAGAGGACGACCAGCCACACUGGGACUGAGACACGGCCCAGACUCCUACGGGAGGCAGCAGUGGGGAAUUUUGGACAAUGGGCGCAAGCCUGAUCCAGCCAUGCCGCGUGCGGGAAGAAGGCCUUCGGGUUGUAAACCGCUUUUGUCAGGGAAGAAAAGGUUCUGGCUAAUACCUGGGACUCAUGACGGUACCUGAAGAAUAAGCACCGGCCAACUACGUG